UAUCAGCUCAAUUUUAGAAGGGCAAGUC
Molecule: non-coding RNA, 28 nt
Filed under: Mus musculus (house mouse)
Lineage: Eukaryota; Metazoa; Chordata; Mammalia; Rodentia; Muridae
Source: RNAcentral